GUGCUCACUUCAGGAGCACAUAUACUCCAAUUGCAACAAUAAGAGAUAAGCAUGACCUCUGCGCAAGGAUGACAUACAAAUGCGAGAAGCAGUCCGUAUUUUU
This 103-nucleotide small nuclear RNA is filed under the name Moschus moschiferus (Siberian musk deer). The record is from RNAcentral. Lineage: Eukaryota; Metazoa; Chordata; Mammalia; Artiodactyla; Moschidae.